This 453-nucleotide long non-coding RNA is filed under the name Taeniopygia guttata (zebra finch). RNAcentral's name for it is "lncRNA (ENSTGUG00000025824.1)". Lineage: Eukaryota; Metazoa; Chordata; Aves; Passeriformes; Estrildidae. The record is from RNAcentral.
CCCAGACCCAGGCUGUGGAGGGUCUGUGUCCUUUUUGGGGGGAUUUUGGGGUCGGGGGGUGUUUCGGGGUCCCCUCACCACGAUUUUUGUGUCGCCCCCAGACCCAAACCGUGGGGGCCGUGUUCGCCCGGCAGCUGCUGCAGCUCGGGGGGCUCAGUGGGGGCAGGGCCGGGGUCGUCCUGAGCCGCUUCCCCACCCCCGCCAGCCUCAUGGCCGCCCUGGGCCCCCCCCAGGACCCCCAAAAGUGUCGGGAGGUGCUGAGUGGGCUGCGCUGCGGCCCCACCCAGAGGAAUUUGGGUCCCUCCCUCAGCGGAGCCCUCCUGAAGCUCUACGGGACCCCGGGGCCACUGUCCUGAGGGGACAGCCCAUUGUCACCUCCUGUCACCCCAUUGUCACCUCCUGUCACCCAUUGUCACCCCAUUGUCACCCCCCAAUAAAGCCUCUCCCCCACCA